CGAUUUAGACCUGCUGGUGCUGC
RNAcentral lists this non-coding RNA (23 nucleotides) under Cricetulus griseus (Chinese hamster). The record is from RNAcentral. Lineage: Eukaryota; Metazoa; Chordata; Mammalia; Rodentia; Cricetidae.